GGGAUAGCCGCCCGAAAGGACGGGUAAUACCGGAUACCCCCGGGCGCCGCAUGGCGCCCGGGCUAAAGCCCCGACGGGAGGGGAUGGCUCCGCGGCCCAUCAGGUAGACGGCGGGGUGACGGCCCACCGUGCCGACAACGGGUAGCCGGGUUGAGAGGCCGACCGGCCAGAUUGGGACUGAGACACGGCCCAGACUCCUACGGGAGGCAGCAGUGGGGAAUCUUGCGCAAUGGGGGGAACCCUGACGCAGCGACGCCGCGUGCGGGACGGAGGCCUUCGGGUCGUAAACCGCUUUCAGCAGGGAAGAGUCAAGACUGUACCUGCAGAAGAAGCCCCGGCUAACUACGUGCCAGCAGCCGCGGUAAUACGUAGGGGGCGAGCGUUAUCCGGAUUCAUUGGGCGUAAAGCGCGCGUAGGCGGCCCGGCAGGCCGGGGGUCGAAGCGGGGGGCUCAACCCCCCGAAGCCCCCGGAACCUCCGCGGCUUGGGUCCGGUAGGGGAGGGUGGAACACCCGGUGUAGCGGUGGAAUGCGCAGAUAUCGGGUGGAACACCGGUGGCGAAGGCGGCCCUCUGGGCCGAGACCGACGCUGAGGCGCGAAAGCUGGGGGAGCGAACAGGAUUAGAUACCCUGGUAGUCCCAGCCGUAAACGAUGGACGCUAGGUGUGGGGGGACGAUCCCCCCGUGCCGCAG
This 691-nucleotide ribosomal RNA is filed under the name uncultured bacterium. RNAcentral describes it as "partial 16S ribosomal RNA". It matches the Rfam family "Bacterial small subunit ribosomal RNA", at positions 140 to 851 of the family's 1533-position model. The record is from RNAcentral.